Molecule: long non-coding RNA, 2870 nt
Filed under: Sus scrofa (pig)
Lineage: Eukaryota; Metazoa; Chordata; Mammalia; Artiodactyla; Suidae
Description: lncRNA (ENSSSCG00065022053.1)
Source: RNAcentral
GUUGCCAGCCUACACCACAGUCACACCAAUGUGGGAUCCAAGCUGUGUCCUCUACCUAUAAUGCAGCUCAUGGCAAUGCCGGAUCCCCAACUCAUUGAGUAAGGCCAGGGAUCGAACCUAUGUUCUCAUGGAUACUAGCCAGAUUCAUUACCACUAAACCACAAUGAGAACUCCCUUUUCUUUGUGUUUAAUUUUAUACCACUUAAAAGGGAUCCUCAAUAAGAUUAACAGUCAAUUUCUGAUCAGAAAUCAUAGAUGCCAGGGGGCAGUGAGAUGACAUUUAAAAUUCUGAAAGAUAAAAAACAGUCAAUGAAUAACUUCUUACCUAUUCUAUUGCUGUCUAAACAUUCUCUUUGUCUUUGGUUUUCAAUAAUUCAAUUAUACUGUCUCAAUGGGGACCUCACUGAGUUUGUACUAUUCAGAAUUUGUUGAACUUCUGGAUGUAUAGACUCAUGCCUUUUAUCAAAUCGAGGAAGUAUCUGUCAUUAUUUCUUCAAAUAUUAUUUUUGUCCCUUGCUGUAUCUCCUCUCUGCUGAGACUCCCGGUUAUGCAUAUGUUGGUACACUUGUUGGUAUCUCACAGGUCUCUUAGGCUCUAUUCAUUUUUUUUCUUUUUAUGACCACACAUGCAACAUAUGAAAGUUCCCAGGGCUAGGUAUCAAACUGGAACUGCAGCUGCUGGCCACUGUGGCCACAUCUGCAACUCAUGCCACAGCUCACAGCAACACUGGAUUCUUAACCCACUGAGCAAUGCCAGGGAUCAAUCUGCAUCCUCAGAGACACUAUGUUGGGUUCGUCACCCGCUGAGCCACAAGAGAAUCUCCUCUAUUCAUUUUUGUCCAUUUUCUUUUCUUUCUGCUCAUCAGACUCAAUAAUUCCAACUGACUGAACCUUCAAGUCUGCUGAUUCUUUCUCUGCUUCAUCAAAUCUACCAUUGGAACACCCUAUAGAAUUUUUCAUUUCAGUUAUUUUACUUUCCAACUCCAAAAUUCCAUUUGAUUUUCUUUAUGAUUUCUAUCCUUAUACUGAUAUUCUCCAUUGUUACAUCACUAACAUUCUUAGUCUAGUUUACUUCUUUUUCCAUCCAUUUGUUAGCACUUUGAAGCUAUGCAAAAUAUUUAAUUUAAAAUAUUUUCCUAUUAAUUCCAACCUCUGGGAUUCCGGAGAAAUAGAAAAGUUUCUGUUAAUUUCCUUUUUUACUGUGAAUGAGCCAUGCUUUCUUGCUUAUGUGGGUGUCUAUUACUUAUUGAAAAUUGGACAUUUUAAAUAUUAUAAUAAAUUUUAAAACAAGAUUUUCCCUUCUCCCCAAGAUUUGCUACUUCUUAUUGUGGAUUAUAGUCAUUUAUUUGUCUAGGGACUUUUCUAAACUAUUUUUGUAAAGUGUGUAAUUUUAUUCAUUUGUGUUCAUUAAAGUCCCUGUUCCCUUAGCUUAAUGGUCUGGUUAUUUGACAGUUUUCUAUAAAAGUCUGAUGUGAAUUCCCAUCAUGGUGCAGGGGAAACAAAUCCGACUAGGAACCAUGAGGUUGCGGGUUCAAUCCCUGGCCUUGCUCAUGGGUUAACGAUCCAGCGUUGCCAUGAGCUGUGGUAUAGGUUGCAGACGCGGCUCAGAUCCCGCGUUGCUGUGGCUCUGGUAUAGGCCAAUGGCUACAGCUCCAAUUCGACCCCUAGCCUGGGAACCUCCAUAUGCCGUGGAGCAGCCCAAAGAAAUAGCAAAAAGACAAAAACAAAAAAAACAAAACAAAAAAACAAAAAAACAAAACAAAAGAAAAACUACAAUGAGAUAUCACUUCACACCAGUCAGAAUGGCUAUCAUCAAAAAGUCUACAAAAAAAGUGAAUGGUGGAGAGGAUAGGGAGAAAAGGGAACCCUCCUACACUGUUGGUAGCAAUGUAAGCUGAUGCAACCACUAUGGAGAACAAUAUGGAGGUUCCUUAAAAAACUGAAAAUAGAACUACCGUAUGAUGCAGAAAUCCCAUUCUUGUGCAUAUAUCCAGAGAAAACUGUAAUUCAAAAAGACACAUGAACCCCAAUGUUCACUGCAGCAUUAUUUACAAUAGCCAAGAGUUGGAAGCAACUUAAAUAUCCAUCAACAGAGGAUUGGAUAAAGAAGAUAUGGUAUAUACAUACAAUAGAAUAUUACUCAGCCAUAAAAAGGAUGAAAUAAUGCCAUUUGCAGCAACAUGUAUAGACCUAGAAAUUAUUUACUAAGUAAAGUAAGUCAGAGAAAGACAAGUAUCACAUUAUAUCACUUAUAUGUGGAAUCUAACAAAAAUUGAUGUAAAAGAACUUACAAAAAACAGACAGACUCAAAGAUUUAAAAACCAAACUAAUGGCUACCAAAGGGGAAAGGUGGGGGAGGAGGGAUAAAUUGAGGUUGGGAUUAAAACUACUUUGCCAUACUUUGCAGAGUAAGGAACAUUAUGAGGAAUAAAGAGAGGCACUACAUAUUGAUAAAGAAUCCAAUUCCACAAAAAUACAUAAAUAGCAUUAAUGUGUAUAUGCCUAAAAACAAAGCAUUAAAAAACAUGAGGCAAAAACAGACAGAAGUGCAAGGAGAAAUGAAUGAAUCAAUGAUGACAUUUGGAGACUUCAGCACUCCUCUAUCAGAAAUAGAUCAAGAAAGAGUUCCCCUUGUGGCUCAGCAGUCACAAACCCGACUAGUACCCAUGAGGACACGGGUCCGAUCCCUGGCCUUGCUCAGUGGUUAAGUAUCUGGCAUUGCUGUGAGCUUUGGUAUAGGUUGAAGACAUGGCUUGGAUCUGGCAUUGCCAUGGCUGUGGUAUAGGCAGGCAACUGAAGCUCAGAUUCGACCACCAGCCCGGGAACUUCCAUAUGCCACACAUGCGGCCCUAAAAAAAAAAAAAAAAAAAA